GUGAUGUGCUUUCCUACAUGUGAAAAACGUCCAAUCAAGAAGCAUUCAAAAGAGAGUUUCAAACAAUGAGUUAUAUAGACAAUUCUAUAGAAGAAAAAAGAACAUAUACACUUGAUUCAUAUAGACAAUUCUAUAUAUAUAUAAAAAAAACAUAUAGACAAUUCUUUAGCCACCACAGUGUGGAGGGUUAGGCAGACCCUAACUAUUUGAAGAUUAUGACCGUGUGGUAAGUAAUUUUUAUUUUUUAUUAGAUAUUUUGAGUUUGAAUUAUUUUAAAUAUUAGUGAGCAUGUUAUUCUUAACGUGAGAUUUUCAGACAUUAAGUUUUAAUAUAAAUAAUUGAGCUUCAAUCGAGAGAAAAAAAGAGAGUUACAAGCUUUGAUUAAUUCAAUGGCCUCGAUGGACACUAUGCACGUUGAGAAGGACCUCAUGUGAUCGAUAUAUACACCAAUUGAGGCUUACUUAGUGAAGGCUUCAUUUGGCAUGUGUGGGGGUCUAUAAUAUGGGUGGGUACUCAUUCCAUAAUUUUCCUGUUGGACAAUCAAAUGACAAUUUAUAGUAUUAAUUAAACCCUUUUUGUAUGCUCAUGAAUCUGCAACAGUAAAAAAAAGAUUUGUUCAUUCUUGUUCUUGAAAGAGAAAAUUAAAUUAGAUAAUUAUUACAAGUUUUUGGCUAAAAUCAUCUCUAAAUUUUGACCUAAAUUUAAAGUAUAUCUUUGUAUUAUGAAAGUGAACAAAAAACAUCCUUGCACUGUUCAAAAAGUUGCAAGAUUCAUUCUUCUGUUUAUUUUUUUAA
Solanum pennellii is the source of this 794-nucleotide long non-coding RNA. RefSeq lists it as uncharacterized. The record is from RefSeq and is a predicted model, not a curated record. The transcript is spliced from 2 exons. NCBI's taxonomy places the organism in Eukaryota, Viridiplantae, Streptophyta, Magnoliopsida, Solanales, Solanaceae.